This 895-nucleotide long non-coding RNA is filed under the name Olea europaea subsp. europaea. The record is from RNAcentral. Lineage: Eukaryota; Viridiplantae; Streptophyta; Magnoliopsida; Lamiales; Oleaceae.
CUCAUUAGCUUCCGUUUAUAGGCAUGUGUCAACCAUGGAUUUCAAUUUAACCAGAUCGGCCGAAAGUAUCUCCACUUUUUCUAGAUGAAUCUUUGUAUUUUUUUUUUAUGCAUCCUUAGCAUGGCUGAGUGCCUGGAAACAUCAGCAACCAUAGCCAACUCUUUCUUCACCUUAUCAAGAUCCCGACUGGCAGAUAGGAUAGCUGCCACAUCCAAUGCAUUCUAGUUUUUCACUGCUUCAAUAUCUCUCAGCCAUUCCUCAUCCUUCUUUUGGGUUGCUUCAAUACCAGCCUAUUCCCUCUCAACUACUCUAAAUUUUUCAAUCUCAAUGUUCUCUUCAGCUUGCUUUUGAGCAGCCAAAGCCACUCUUAACUUCCGAUCUAUUUUCUCAUCAAAUCUCUGUGCCUCAAUCAAUUCAUCAAGAGCUUUUGCUUUUUCUUUCUCAACCAAAACCAAUUCCCCUUGGCCUUCUUAAAAUUUUUCCCAGUGAGAUUUAAUUCCUCCUAAAGUUCUGAUGGCUUUGAAGUCCGAGUCAGAUUUUCUGAGGGAAAGAGAGAAUCAAAGUCAAACAAUGUAAUAAUUCAACAGCAGCAAAAUUUCAACCACUACAUCGCCUAAUGCAGCCAUUCAACAUGAAAAGGUACUUCUCCACGAUUGGAAAUAAUUUUACUAAAACUUACAUUGAAAGUGGUACUGAGCUUUGGAGACUGCCAGUCUACAACAGGCUGUGGGUUGACCAGUUUUGAAGAUCCAUGAACUGAAAGUUAAGAAUUUUACAGGUGAGAGGCCAAAUUAGCAUUAGAUUUAGCCACUUCCCUGCUCAACUUGCUGACCCCAGUAGCUGCUGGUGAUGCUUUACUAUUAUGAGUUUCAGAAGCAAGUGAUCUGUGUAUCCC